CCUACGGGUGGCUGCAGUGGGGAAUAUUGGACAAUGGGCGAAAGCCUGAUCCAGCCAUGCCGCGUGUGUGAAGAAGGCCUUCGGGUUGUAAAGCACUUUCAGUGGGGAAGAAAGCCUUGGGGCUAAUACCCUCGAGGAAGGACAUCACCCACAGAAGAAGCACCGGCUAACUCCGUGCCAGCAGCCGCGGUAAUACGGAGGGUGCGAGCGUUAAUCGGAAUUACUGGGCGUAAAGCGCGCGUAGGCGGUCUGAUAAGCCGGUUGUGAAAGCCCCGGGCUCAACCUGGGAACGGCAUCCGGAACUGUCAGGCUAGAGUGCAGGAGAGGAAGGUAGAAUUCCCGGUGUAGCGGUGAAAUGCGUAGAGAUCGGGAGGAAUACCAGUGGCGAAGGCGGUCUUCUGGAUUGACACUGACGCUGAGGUGCGAAAGCGUGGGUAGCAAACAGGAUUAGAUACCCGAGUAGUC
This 465-nucleotide ribosomal RNA is filed under the name Vreelandella stevensii. RNAcentral describes it as "partial 16S ribosomal RNA". It matches the Rfam family "Bacterial small subunit ribosomal RNA", at positions 338 to 795 of the family's 1533-position model. Lineage: Bacteria; Pseudomonadati; Pseudomonadota; Gammaproteobacteria; Oceanospirillales; Halomonadaceae. The record is from RNAcentral.